UGGGGAAUAUUGCACAAUGGGGGGAAACCCUGAUGCAGCAACGCCGCGUGAGUGAAGAAGGUUUUCGGAUCGUAAAGCUCUGUUGUAAGUCAAGAACGGGUGUGAGAGUGGAAAGUUCACACUAUGACGGUAGCUUACCAGAAAGGGACGGCUAACUACGUGCCAGCAGCCGCGGUAAUACGUAGGUCCCGAGCGUUGUCCGGAUUUAUUGGGCGUAAAGCGAGCGCAGGCGGUUUGAUAAGUCUGAAGUUAAAGGCUGUGGCUCAACCAUAGUUCGCUUUGGAAACUGUCAAACUUGAGUGCAGAAGGGGAGAGUGGAAUUCCAUGUGUAGCGGUGAAAUGCGUAGAUAUAUGGAGGAACACCGGUGGCGAAAGCGGCUCUCUGGUCUGUAACUGACGCUGAGGCUCGAAAGCGUGGGGAGCGAACAGGAUUAGAUACCC
RNAcentral lists this ribosomal RNA (441 nucleotides) under uncultured bacterium. RNAcentral describes it as "bacterial SSU rRNA". It matches the Rfam family "Bacterial small subunit ribosomal RNA", at positions 355 to 787 of the family's 1533-position model. The record is from RNAcentral.